Molecule: transfer RNA, 56 nt
Filed under: Phytophthora infestans T30-4
Lineage: Eukaryota; Oomycota; Peronosporomycetes; Peronosporales; Peronosporaceae
Rfam family: tRNA
About the family: Transfer RNA (tRNA) molecules are approximately 80 nucleotides in length. Their secondary structure includes four short double-helical elements and three loops (D, anti-codon, and T loops). Further hydrogen bonds mediate the characteristic L-shaped molecular structure. tRNAs have two regions of fundamental functional importance: the anti-codon, which is responsible for specific mRNA codon recognition, and the 3' end, to which the tRNAs corresponding amino acid is attached (by aminoacyl-tRNA synthetases). tRNAs cope with the degeneracy of the genetic code in two manners: having more than one tRNA (with a specific anti-codon) for a particular amino acid; and 'wobble' base-pairing, i.e. permitting non-standard base-pairing at the 3rd anti-codon position.
Source: Rfam by way of RNAcentral
AGCUCAGUGGUUGAACAAUCGCUUCACAAGCGAUAGGUCGGUGGUUCGAACCCACC